GUGCCAGCAGCCGCGGUAAUACGGAGGGGGCUAGCGUUGUUCGGAAUUACUGGGCGUAAAGCGCACGUAGGCGGAUCAGAAAGUUGAGGGUGAAAUCCCGGGGCUCAACCUCGGAACUGCCUUCAAAACUAUUGGUCUUGAGUUCGAGAGAGGUGAGUGGAAUUCCGAGUGUAGAGGUGAAAUUCGUAGAUAUUCGGAGGAACACCAGUGGCGAAGGCGGCUCACUGGCUCGAUACUGACGCUGAGGUGCGAAAGCGUGGGGAGCAAACAGGAUUAG
Molecule: ribosomal RNA, 277 nt
Filed under: uncultured Rhodobacterales bacterium
Lineage: Bacteria; Pseudomonadati; Pseudomonadota; Alphaproteobacteria; Rhodobacterales
Description: partial 16S ribosomal RNA
Rfam family: Bacterial small subunit ribosomal RNA
Source: RNAcentral